UUACGGUCAAAUCACGUAUGAAACACCGGUUCUCGUUCGAUCACCGAAGUUAAGCAUCGUAGAGCCAGGUCAGUACUUAGAUGGGGGACCGCUUGGGAACACCUGGUACUGUAAG
This 115-nucleotide ribosomal RNA is filed under the name Acanthosepion pharaonis. The record is from RNAcentral. Lineage: Eukaryota; Metazoa; Mollusca; Cephalopoda; Sepiida; Sepiidae.